Molecule: unclassified non-coding RNA, 209 nt
Filed under: Hevea brasiliensis (rubber tree)
Lineage: Eukaryota; Viridiplantae; Streptophyta; Magnoliopsida; Malpighiales; Euphorbiaceae
Source: RNAcentral
GAAAAAAAGAGAUUGUUUUUGAGUGAGUUUGAUCUUGAAAAUAAAAUCAUUGUGAGGAUGCAAUCUGUGAUAAUGUUUGGUAGAGGGGGAGAGAUUUCUUGGGUUUUUCUCUGUGCUUUUAGAGCCGUCCAAGAUAUUUUUUUUGUUCAACUCUCAUUUGUACUGCUAAGUUAUAUAAUUAUUGUCAAUGCAAGUCUGAUAAGUUUUGC